UUUGAUAACCUGUAAUAGUUGUUUUUCCUGCUCAUCAUUAAGCAAUGCAGAUAUAAUAACAGAGAGUUUCUCAUCCCUCUCAAGAUAAGCAUGUUUCAAAUGGGAUGGUAAAGUUUUCAACUCCAAAAAGGGUAGAUGUACCACAUAUGGCAAUAUCUUACUGCCAAAGGUAAUUUCAACCACCUCAACAUCGCACUCGG
Molecule: long non-coding RNA, 200 nt
Filed under: Vigna radiata
Lineage: Eukaryota; Viridiplantae; Streptophyta; Magnoliopsida; Fabales; Fabaceae
Description: long non-coding RNA (VRAD_LNC016032)
Source: RNAcentral